AUAAUCUUAUCAUAGCUAUGAUACGUGUAUUUAUCUUUACAAUAUUUUUCAGGCUUUAUAUAACUCGAAAUAUUGUGCUAAAAUAUACUAAUUUUGUUUCAGAUAUGAAAUUUUAGGCAUUUAAAUACAAAACAAAUCAUUCUACCAAAGCUUUAAAAAAUUUAGAUGGCAGGACUUCGAUCCGAUCUGCGGCGAUCGACGAUCACAUAUGAAACAAAAAGGCUUUAGAUGUAGCUGUAGCGGAAUUUCCAUAAAACGAGAGCGGCGAUCGACAACAUACUUGAGGUGCGGUAGAGAUCGAGGGCUGCGGGGAGAGGUGCGGAGAUCUACGACAGCAGAGAGGAGCGUAGAGACGAGAUCGACAGCGGAACGGGGCGAGGUGCGGAGAUCUACGACAUACCCGAGGUGCGGUAGAGAUCGAGGGCUGCGGGGCGAGGUGCGGAGAUCUACGACAGCAGAGAGGAGCGUAGAGACGAGAUCGACAGCGGAACGGGGCGAGGUGCGGAGAUCU
Long non-coding RNA from Phalaenopsis equestris, 511 nucleotides. RefSeq lists it as uncharacterized. The record is from RefSeq and is a predicted model, not a curated record. The transcript is spliced from 2 exons. Lineage: Eukaryota; Viridiplantae; Streptophyta; Magnoliopsida; Asparagales; Orchidaceae.